This 253-nucleotide ribosomal RNA is filed under the name uncultured bacterium. RNAcentral describes it as "partial 16S ribosomal RNA". It matches the Rfam family "Bacterial small subunit ribosomal RNA", at positions 524 to 776 of the family's 1533-position model. The record is from RNAcentral.
UACGUAGGGCGCAAGCGUUGUCCGGAAUUAUUGGGCGUAAAGAGCUCGUAGGCGGUCUGUUGCGUCCGCUGUGAAAACUCGGGGCUUAACCCCGAGCCUGCAGUGGAUACGGGCAGACUAGAGGUAGGUAGGGGAGAAUGGAAUUCCCGGUGUAGCGGUGAAAUGCGCAGAUAUCGGGAGGAACACCGGUGGCGAAGGCGGUUCUCUGGGACGGUACUGACGCUGAGACGCGAAAGCGUGGGGAGCGAACAGG